ACUUCUAAUGGCGGUGACGGUUCCCGAGAGGGAUGAAAAGGGAAUACGGUGCGGACGCAGACACUUUCGCGUUCUAGGCCGUAGCUGUUCCCGCAACUGUAAGCGGAUCGUCUUUCGUCGGAUGCCACUGGGAACCUCGGUCCUGGGAAGGCGACGGAAGAUCAACCGCGAGCCAGGAGACCUGCCGUCAUUCGUGGUCACAC
Molecule: non-coding RNA, 203 nt
Organism: Rhodopseudomonas palustris CGA009
Lineage: Bacteria; Pseudomonadati; Pseudomonadota; Alphaproteobacteria; Hyphomicrobiales; Nitrobacteraceae
Source: Rfam